Molecule: long non-coding RNA, 259 nt
Filed under: Eucalyptus grandis
Lineage: Eukaryota; Viridiplantae; Streptophyta; Magnoliopsida; Myrtales; Myrtaceae
Description: long non-coding RNA (EGRA_LNC002133)
Source: RNAcentral
CAUAAACCCCGCGUUCGGUUGUAAUCCGUGACGGUAGUGAACCCCAUGCCAUGCUCUAUUGCUCACUAACAAACGCUAAAAUAAAUAACAAAUGUGAAAAUUUGGCACCUCCAAAAUCAAUUUCAGAAAAAGGUCUAAGAUGGGUAGAGAUAUAUUUUUUUGUUGAAAUAGAAAUAUAUUUCAAAGUGGGCAUUAUGAUAUCAAAGACAAAAAUAGGGGAUAUAUUUUGGCAAUUUUUUGCAUCCACUGAUUGAGACCU